UCUCCUUCUAUAGGAGCCUAUUGUGUGUUUAACUUACUGUGUCUGUGAAGUUAUUACUAUCUAUUACAGUGAAGAAGUCCUCACCUGGGAGUGCACCUUAGAAGCACAACA
This is a long non-coding RNA of Sander lucioperca (pikeperch), 111 nucleotides long. RefSeq lists it as uncharacterized. Lineage: Eukaryota; Metazoa; Chordata; Actinopteri; Perciformes; Percidae. The record is from RefSeq and is a predicted model, not a curated record. The transcript has 3 exons.